UCCUUCCCUUCCCCUCGGAGCAAACUUGGAAAGCUUGAAAAAAUAGUUGGUGUCUUCGCUCUCCUUUCUCUGUUUUCCAGAGCGGUCAAGCGAACAUGUUUCUCUACGUCGACCAGCAUGUUUUUGGAUGGGAAAAUUGUGAUAUAUAUCUUACCGGAGACAUCAUUGGAUUAUUCGUCCUCCUGCAGUAGCUGUUUAAAAGGCAGCUGUGAGCUUGGCUUCUCUCUGAGACACUGCGUGUUCACCGCAGCCAUCCGACCUCGAGCUGUUCCGGAACCUUCUGGUCACACAACGCUGUGGGACGGGAUUCCACAACUGUAAGGCUUUUCUGCUCCUACCAUAAAUGGGACAUCAUUUAAAAGUCUUUCAGAUGGUUUCAAGAAGAGAAGAUCCCAGUUUUGUCUCGCGCUUCAUCUGGGAACCCUUUGGACUUUGGUGAUUGAAGGGCAGUUUUCUCGCCACCUACCAUUUUCUGUGAUGAUGACGUCCGUGUGGGAGCUGCCGUACUUGUGGAUGUGCUUCACAGCUUCAUGCAUGCUGUCCACCACCUCCACGCAGCACUCCAGGUCGCCGUACUCGGUGCGCAUGGACUGGGCCCGGCACGGGCUGAACAUCAUGUAGGAGGCCAACUCCGGGCCGGCGUGGAUCUUCACCUUGUGACACGAUAAAGGACUUUAUAGUGCAUGUUAAUGAUCUGGUCGAAAAGCGGCGUCCCGAGGAUGUCACAGUGGAUCAGGAGCGUUUCCAUAGCGUUGCUAGCCGCCGGGUAGUCACACUUGGAGUCUCGGACUGGAACAAAUGAAGUGGUACCAAUUGAAGGUAGAUGUGGCAGAUGCCGUCACUGUGACCCAGCACUGGAAUGCCCUUGGCGGCAUGCUGGAUGUCUCGGACCAGCCGGGAAGACCCCCGGGGGAUGAUCAAGUCGAUCAUCUUGUCCAGACGGCACAGAUCCUCCACCUCUUCGCGGGAGCU
Long non-coding RNA from Nerophis ophidion (straightnose pipefish), 972 nucleotides. RefSeq lists it as uncharacterized. The transcript is spliced from 7 exons. The record is from RefSeq and is a predicted model, not a curated record. Lineage: Eukaryota; Metazoa; Chordata; Actinopteri; Syngnathiformes; Syngnathidae.